ACGGCGGACGGGUGAGUAACACGUGGAUAACCUACCUAUAAGACUGGGAUAACUUCGGGAAACCGGAGCUAAUACCGGAUAAUAUAUUGAACCGCAUGGUUCAAUAGUGAAAGACGGUUUUGCUGUCACUUAUAGAUGGAUCCGCGCCGCAUUAGCUAGUUGGUAAGGUAACGGCUUACCAAGGCGACGAUGCGUAGCCGACCUGAGAGGGUGAUCGGCCACACUGGAACUGAGACACGGUCCAGACUCCUACGGGAGGCAGCAGUAGGGAAUCUUCCGCAAUGGGCGAAAGCCUGACGGAGCAACGCCGCGUGAGUGAUGAAGGUCUUCGGAUCGUAAAACUCUGUUAUUAGGGAAGAACAAAUGUGUAAGUAACUAUGCACGUCUUGACGGUACCUAAUCAGAAAGCCACGGCUAACUACGUGCCAGCAGCCGCGGUAAUACGUAGGUGGCAAGCGUUAUCCGGAAUUAUUGGGCGUAAAGCGCGCGUAGGCGGUUUUUUAAGUCUGAUGUGAAAGCCCACGGCUCAACCGUGGAGGGUCAUUGGAAACUGGAAAACUUGAGUGCAGAAGAGGAAAGUGGAAUUCCAUGUGUAGCGGUGAAAUGCGCAGAGAUAUGGAGGAACACCAGUGGCGAAGGCGACUUUCUGGUCUGUAACUGACGCUGAUGUGCGAAAGCGUGGGGAUC
RNAcentral lists this ribosomal RNA (687 nucleotides) under uncultured Staphylococcus sp. RNAcentral describes it as "SSU rRNA". It matches the Rfam family "Bacterial small subunit ribosomal RNA", at positions 95 to 769 of the family's 1533-position model. Lineage: Bacteria; Bacillati; Bacillota; Bacilli; Caryophanales; Staphylococcaceae. The record is from RNAcentral.